Molecule: ribosomal RNA, 620 nt
Filed under: Enterobacter sp. Ax-4
Lineage: Bacteria; Pseudomonadati; Pseudomonadota; Gammaproteobacteria; Enterobacterales; Enterobacteriaceae
Description: bacterial SSU rRNA
Rfam family: Bacterial small subunit ribosomal RNA
Source: RNAcentral
UGCAAGUCGAGCGGUAGCACAGAGAGCUUGCUCUCGGGUGACGAGCGGCGGACGGGUGAGGACGGGUGAGUAAUGUCUGGGAAACUGCCUGAUGGAGGGGGAUAACUACUGGAAACGGUAGCUAAUACCGCAUAACGUCGCAAGACCAAAGAGGGGGACCUUCGGGCCUCUUGCCAUCAGAUGUGCCCAGAUGGGAUUAGCUAGUAGGUGGGGUAACGGCUCACCUAGGCGACGAUCCCUAGCUGGUCUGAGAGGAUGACCAGCCACACUGGAACUGAGACACGGUCCAGACUCCUACGGGAGGCAGCAGUGGGGAAUAUUGCACAAUGGGCGCAAGCCUGAUGCAGCCAUGCCGCGUGUAUGAAGAAGGCCUUCGGGUUGUAAAGUACUUUCAGCGAGGAGGAAGGCAUUGUGGUUAAUAACCACAGUGAUUGACGUUACUCGCAGAAGAAGCACCGGCUAACUCCGUGCCAGCAGCCGCGGUAAUACGGAGGGUGCAAGCGUUAAUCGGAAUUACUGGGCGUAAAGCGCACGCAGGCGGUCUGUCAAGUCGGAUGUGAAAUCCCCGGGCUCAACCUGGGAACUGCAUUCGAAACUGGCAGGCUAGAGUCUUGUAGAGG